GAUGAAGAACGUAGCGAAAUGCGAUAAGUAAUGUGAAUUGCAGAAUUCAGUGAAUCAUCGAAUCUUUGAACGCACAUUGCGCCCGCCAGUAUUCUGGCGGGCAUGCCUGUUCGAGCGUCAUUUGUACCUUCAAGCUUUGCUUGGUGUUGGGUGUUUGUCUCGCCUCCGCGUGUAGACUCGCCUCAAAACAAUUGGCAGCCGGCGUAUUGAUUUCGGAGCGCAGUACAUCUCGCGCUUUGCACUCACAACGACGACGUCCAAAAGUACAUUUUUACACUCUUGACCUCGGAUCAGGUAGGGAUACCCGCUGAACUUAAGCAUAUCAAUAAGCGGAGGA
This 337-nucleotide unclassified non-coding RNA is filed under the name soil metagenome. Its description in RNAcentral is "partial contains 5.8S ribosomal RNA, internal transcribed spacer 2, and large subunit ribosomal RNA". The stretch from base 1 to 120 matches the Rfam family "5.8S ribosomal RNA", at positions 35 to 154 of the family's 154-position model. The record is from RNAcentral.